This is a long non-coding RNA of Equus quagga, 6231 nucleotides long. RefSeq lists it as uncharacterized. NCBI's taxonomy places the organism in Eukaryota, Metazoa, Chordata, Mammalia, Perissodactyla, Equidae. The record is from RefSeq and is a predicted model, not a curated record. The transcript is spliced from 3 exons.
GGAGGAUGCUGGGAAAUAAACCAAGAGGCCAGACCUAAAGCAGGACUGGAAAAAGUCACAAAAGGACUUUAAUAAUAUUAAUAACUACACUUCCGAAUGGUUUGCCAACACAGCUCCUUUAUUUUACCCCUGACUUGGGUUCUUGGCAGUCUCUGCGGAUGCCAGGGACUACUUGCCCAACCAGGAGCGUUCUCAUUUGCAGAUCAUUUCCUAAAUGCUAAAUUAGAAAUUGAAUACUGGUGUGUGAAGUUUAGGUGGAUUAAUGAACGAUUUAUUAAUUUCGGUUUAGCAGGUUUCUUUAAGUAUUUUAGAGGCAAUGAAGUUCUGGUUCCAAAUGUCCCUUGCAAAUCUGCCACCUGGCAGCAGCCAAAAUUUGAGGUGACGUGCAAAAAUAGCUGAUGUGUAAGGAUGGAAAGGGGUGAGGGAAGGUUAGCCAGUCCGGGAGAGUUCGCUUUCCUGGGAGGAUCAGGGCAGGCUCCCUGGAGGAGGUGGUUUUGAAUCCGAGUGGCAAAGGAUGGGGGAAAUAUAGACCAGGCAGCCGGUCUAGGGUGAGCGGGGGCAGGCCAGGCGGCGGGCCCUGCGCGUGAAGAUGUGUGAAGGCGGGAACAAUGCGGUGGGAGUUUGGACCACGGGGCUGGGGCUGGUGGAGGCCGCCGCAAGGAGAGAUGAGGCCCAUGGGGGCACUGCCAGGCCGGAGGGCAGGGAGCGCGGAGAACGCGGCUGACCUCUGUUCCAGGGGCUCGUGCUAAAGAAGGGCUGCCUCGUCCUCUGUCCACCACCAGGCGCCCUUUCCCCUCAGGCCUGUGCAGUCAUCUUUGGUGAAAUAUGAGAAUGAGUUGCCUGCAUGGAGGCCCACAGGACGCCCAGCCCUGCACGGAUGGCUUUGGGGGCGUCAGCUCAUUCAUUCCUCCCGUUAGUUGCAUGAGGGAGGUGUUAUCAUGAUGCCCAUUGUUCAGAGGGCACAGAGGAGGCCCAGAGAGGUUAAGCAACACGGCUAAUGUCACAUAGCCAGGAAGUGGCAGAGUGGUAUUGGAAUCCAGACCUCCUGGAACCCAAAGUCCUUGCACUAAGCACUGCUCUGUAAUGCUCCUCAUGUGCUCCCACCAGGCCUGUGACCUGAGCACCAUAGUCCUCCCCAUUUGUUGGAGGGAGAAACUGAGGCUCUGAGAGGUGGAAUCACUUGCAUGAGAUCACACAGCCGGAGGGGAGAAGCCGAGGUUGGAAUCCCCGGGUCCAGGUGACUCCAGUGCGCUUUCUGCAACCACCAACGACACAGCUGCUUGCUCUGCCACCUCCAUGUCCUUAUCUGAGAAGCGGGGCGAGGACAGCGGCCACCCGGUGGGGCCGUGCGGGGGUCCGAGGGGGGCGCUUGGCCGUCGCUUUAGGGACGCUGGCUGUGGCCACUUGUGUGAAGGCGCUGUUAGUAAAUGAGUGGGUUAGUGGGAGGCCUCAAGCAGUGCCCUGCACACAGUAGGUGCUCAGAAGUGCUGGCCGGCGGCAUUACUACUGUGGGACCUGCCGCAGGGCGGCCCGAGGUGCUUCCCAACCUGCCUCCUUCGCAGACGCUCCACUCGUGUCCAUCACCCAGCGACGGGCCUCGGAGUCCAGGUCAGGAGGACGCAGGGCGUCCGCCCAUCAGUCCGGGAGACGCUGCGAGCACUGGGUGACCAGUCCGAUGUCAGGGUUUGAACCCUGGACCCGCUGUGUGACCUCUGGCAAGCGUCUUGCCUUCUCUGAGCCUCAGUUUCCCCUUUUGUCUGUAGAGCCUGGGCCAGCUGCCCCGGAGGUGCCAGCCCCGCGCAAGGCCAGGGGCGGUUCCCGUGCCCCCGCUGGCCGCCGUCCCCGCCUCCUGCCUCCCGAGCUGCAGGCCCGCCCGGCUCAGCUGUGACGACCAACCAGCCAAUGUGUUUACUGAACUGCCUGACCCCUUCCGGGAACUGGGCCCAAGCUUCCCAGAACUCGGGUAUUAAUGACCCGGAGCCACAUGACAGAGCAUGACACAGCACUUUUGGGCACAAGGCAGGGCCCAGAGGGGCGCGUGGGGGGCCGCGGCCCAGCCCCCAGCCCGCUGGCGGCCUGGGUCCCAAGGCUGCGCUGCUGAGCUGGGGCGAUGGCAGAGGUGACACGGGGGUCCUGACCUCCGGGGCGGCUGGGAGGCUGCACUGGGCUCUUUAUUGAGGUACAACAGACACGGCGCGUGUUCUAGUGUGCACGUUGGUGAGUUUUGACACAUGGAUGCGCUCAUGAAGCCACCAGCACAACCAAGACUGUGAGCAUACCCAUCACUUUCCACUCCCGAGGUUUCCCUGUGUCCUUUUGUCGCCGCCCUUCCCACCCGGCCUCCUCCACGCUCUCUAUUGCUGUAACUCAGUCUACGUUUUCCAGAAGUUUCUCCAAGUGGAAUCAUAUAGCACAUCCUCCCUUGUCCGCUUCUUUCCCUCGGCGCGAGGAUUUCGAGAUUCAUCCUGUCAUCACGCCCGUUAUCUUCUCAGGUGUCCGCCCCCUCCCAGCAGGCCGUGAGCUCCGUGCGGCAAGGACUUUGUCUUAUUUGUCUCCGUGUCCUCAGCACCCCGCACAAGGCUGCGCACACAGGAAGUGCCUAAUAGAUGCCUGACUGGCGGGAGGGUGGAGACGAGCCCGUGUGGGGGACGGGCAGGCUGCAGCCUCGUGGCAGCGAGGAGCCCGAAGACUGGCUGGGACAACGGCCCCUGGACGCUCCGGAGGCCCCGUGGCCCCAUCAGAUGAGCAUAUCCGCUCAUCCCGGUGGCUGUCUCUGGGGGUCAGAGACCUGAACUGCACAAGGGUUGGGCUUGGGCUGAGGACGCGCUUAGUGGCCCCUUUAUCUGGCGUGGGCAUCCGGCCCUGUGUUCUGGAACGGCACAGCUUGCACGCCCAGCGGGCCACGCGGCCUGGGCCCGGGCAUGGCAGGAAGGGAGCUGGCGCCCCCCCAACCCCCCAAACCAGUCCGACUCCUCUGGAGAGGCUGCGGGAGCUGAGCGAGCGCGGGCGGCGGGGAAAGGAGGAGGUGGAGGGAGGACCCGCUCCAUCAGCGACCGUCCCGGGGAAUUUCCAGUCCUGCCCCGGCCGGCUGGUUACACAGGCGGUUUCCAGGUCUCGGCCUCAGCCCGAAGGUUCCAUGGCCCCAAGGCCUCUGGGUCUCAUCCCCAGCUGGAAAGGCAGCUGGCCAGGCUGGGGAGGGGCGAGGGGACAGAGCUACAUCCCGAGACGGCCCGCAACCAAAGCUGAGUGAGGCAUGGGCUUCCUGCGCGAUGUUACUGCCCAUUUCCCAGAUGGAAAAACCGAGGCGAGAGCUGUGGAUUGGCUGAGGUCACACAGGGGUCGCCGGGGAGCAGGAGCGCUUAAGGACCAGCGGUCAUCUUGCAGAGCCUCCUUCGAAGAUGACAAUGUUCUUUUGACAAAUGCUCAUUGAACCCCUACUGUGUGCCAGGCUCCAUGCUCAGCUCUGGGGAUUAAAAGAGAGUCCCGGGGCCGCCCCAUGGCGUGGUGGUGAAGUCCAGCGCCCUCCGCCUCCCUGGCCUGAGUCUCGGGUUCGGAUCCCAGACACAGACGCACACCACGCGUCAAGCUGUGCUACGGUGGCGUCCCACAUGCGAAAUAGAGGAAGAGUCACGCAGAUGUUAGCUCAGGGCUAAUCUUCCUCAAGCCAAAAAAAAAAAAAGAGGAAGAUUGGCAACAGAUGUUAGCUCGGAGAAAAUUUUCCUCACACACACAAAGCAAGAGAGUCCUGGGCAUGUAUCGUGUGUCACAUCUUACCUCCAGAUGGAAAAACUUUUGAGGGCAGGCUGUGGAACUUUGUUUUCUUGUUUGUGGAAACAAGGAAUUUACACCAGGUUAGCGUUUCCCAAAUAGGGUCUGAAGGACACAGAUUCUCUGGGACAUUGAGAGCAGUGACAUGGGGAAAAGGGUUCCACGGGCCCAAGAGUUUGGGAGUUACUGUGUGUAAGAAUGGAGCGUUUGCUGCAGGACUUCUCAGAGCCUUCAAUGUCUUAACAAGCUCCGUGAGCAUCUCAGUGGAUGGGUGCUCUGAGUCACCCUCUGUGAGAUCUAAGGGAGCCUGUUUAGUGUCUUCCUGUCUUUCUGAUUCCUGGUUUGGAUGCCACUUCCUCCGAGGAGGCUUCUCCGAAGCCCCAGGUGGACCUGCGUCUGUUCCUGUGAAGGCGCCUGCCUGGAGCUCCCUUCGACCUCUUAAUAUUUUCCACCUUGAGUUGUAACUCUCUGUUCCCAUCACCAGCCUGUGCGCUGCUCGAGGGAGGAGCCCACGGUGAUUCAUGUCUUGGUCCUGGUACAGGGAGCUGAAUGGGUGGAUGCAGAAGUUAAUGGGAGGAAGGAUGAGUGAUGACCUGAUGAAUGAAUGGGCGGACGGUCGAAUGGAAGAUUUAAUGACUGGGUACAUGGGCGGAUGGAUGUUUACGGAUGGAUGAAAUGCAUGAAGAGACAGGUAAACCAAAGCCUAGAUGAAUCCAUGAGGGACAUGAUGAACAAAUGAAAUAAUGCAUGGAUGGACGGAUGGAUGAAUAAAGAAAUUAGUGGAUAAAUGGGUGGAUGGAUGAUGGAGGGGUGGGUGAAUACAGAAAUGGUGAUGGAUGACAAAUUAUGAGGUAGAGGAUGCGGAUAACUCACGGUUUAAUAUUGUGAAUUAUUGAUGGAGGAAUGAAUAGAUAACAUAUAAUUAAAUGAGUAAAUAGAAUGAUAAAUGAAAUGGAUGAAUUAAUAGAUGGCUAGAUGAGAAAAUGCAUAAAGGGAUAAAUGGAUAGAUGGAUUGGUAAUUUCCUGAGUGUAUGGAUGGGUGAUGGAUGGAUAGAUGAGAGAGUGGAUGAGAAGGAUGGAUGGAUGAAUGGGUGGAUGGGUGGCUUGGAGACUGGAUGGAUGCAUUGAUGAACGGAUGGAUGGGUGGAUGGAGGAGUGAGUGGUUGGAUGGGCAAGUGAGAGGCUGGAUGCAGCAGUGAAUGCACGCAAUGUCAUAAGGUCUGCACCGAGGUCAAGAUGGCAGAAAUAUCCCUCAUCCCUCUUUGAUGCAGCAAUUUAUCAAGUUUUUGGAAUUUGAAAGUUUAAUGAAAGCAAUGAACUAUAUCUCUAGAAAACUGCACAUAGACAUGAAACGUCAGCAAUUUUAAGAGGGCGGUGGUCAUCAGGCCUAGAAGCUGCCUACAGACCCCCAGGAGUCCCAGUGCAGAGCAAGGAGUUUCCUUUAUUCCUCAGGCCCUGACCUUGGAGAGGAACCCAGGCCCAGAGGGAUGCAGGCAGCUGAGAUGGGGAUGCCGGGUGUCCCAACGGAAAGAGCACUCGUGUAUUCAUUUGUUCACGGCACAGCAUUUCCGCGCCUUUUCCGGAUGCCUGUGAGAAGACAAAGCCGCCUCUCAUAGCGCCGGGUGUUCGGAGUUUGAAGUCACACAGAUUUCCUUUGUAAUCUCAUCUCUGAUGCUCACCGGCUGGUUGACCUUGGGAAAAGUCCUUCACUCUCUGGGCCUCCUCUUCAUGUAUAACACAGGGAUGGCAAGAAUUCCUACCUGUUGGCUUGUAAGUGUGUAAACAAGCGUGUAAGUGUAUAAACAAGCCUAGUGCUCAGAGCAUAGUAAGUGCCCAACAAAUGCUGGUGGCGGGGUACCCAGGACACCCUCUCUUCCCUUGAAGCAGUCACUGUCUGGGAGGAAAGACAGACAAGCAAGCAGAGCACGAGUCCCAGAGGCGGGUGGGGGUCGUGGCGGGGGACCCUGCGACGUCACCUGAGUGUCAUGGCACUCGACACCUGUGUACGUUGAAGUCUCCUUCCAGCCAGAGGCCGCAGAGACUGGACGGCUGCGAGCCACAUUUCCCAGCCUCCUUUGCAGCGACAGUUCUGUGUGCUCUUAGGUUCCGCGAUCACAUGCCCGCCCGGGAGAUUCAGAGAGUGGAGGCCGUCUGGUUUUUGCUGUGGCUCUCUUUCUGCUGAUAAACAUGGCCACACACUGCAUUUUCUUGCAGCAAUGUACAUGCCUGGUGACCAGUUUGGAGGUCUGGGGAGGGGGGCUCCUGUCUCCAGAGAGCUGCUGGGUGGCCUGUUCUCCAAGCCACCAGCUCCCGCGCGGCCUGCUGAUGCCCCACCAUCCCGACCGGCCGAGGGGCAGCUCCCAUAUGGGCCAGUUCUGCUCCUUGUUUCGGAGCCCUUCCCGCCCUUCUAGUGAUUUUCUUCCAAUUCCCUGUAUUCCGCCCUUUCUGCAUAAAAUACCUGGA